CCUUCGAUGGCUCAGUUGGUAGAGCGGUGGACUGUAGAAAGGUAGCAAGGUGGCGAGUAGAAAUGCAUUGCAAGGCAUCCGGAUCACACCUGAAAACAAUAGAAAUCCAUAGGUCACUGGUUCAAAUCCGGUUCGAAGGA
RNAcentral lists this transfer RNA (140 nucleotides) under Anopheles dirus. RNAcentral describes it as "tRNA tRNA-Tyr". It matches the Rfam family "tRNA". Rfam says of the family: Transfer RNA (tRNA) molecules are approximately 80 nucleotides in length. Lineage: Eukaryota; Metazoa; Arthropoda; Insecta; Diptera; Culicidae. The record is from RNAcentral.